CAGUCGCCGCGGUAAUACGUAGGUGGCAAGCGUCGUCCGGAAUUAUUGGGCGUAAAGGGCUCGCAGGCGGUUUCUUAAGUCUGAUGUGAAAGCCCCCGGCUCAACCGGGGAGGGUCAUUGGAAACUGGGAAACUUGAGUGCAGAAGAGGAGAGUGGAAUUCCACGUGUAGCGGUGAAAUGCGUAGAGAUGUGGAGGAACACCAGUGGCGAAGGCGACUCUCUGGUCUGUAACUGACGCUGAGGAGCGAAAGCGUGGGGAGCGAACAGGAUUAGAUACCCCCGUAGUCCCUGUCUCUUAUAU
Molecule: ribosomal RNA, 301 nt
Filed under: uncultured bacterium
Lineage: Bacteria
Description: partial 16S ribosomal RNA
Rfam family: Bacterial small subunit ribosomal RNA
Source: RNAcentral